Molecule: non-coding RNA, 54 nt
Organism: Oncorhynchus nerka (sockeye salmon)
Lineage: Eukaryota; Metazoa; Chordata; Actinopteri; Salmoniformes; Salmonidae
Source: Rfam
UCCACACUUGAAUGUAAGUCGCUUUGGAUAAAAGCAUCUGCUAAAUGGCUGUGU